GGAAGUAAAAGUCGUAACAAGGUUUCCGUAGGUGAACCUGCGGAAGGAUCAUUACCACACCAAAAUAAUGUCCACGUGAAACUGUUUUGUUUGUACUUGGAGUGUGAAACUCGUUUCAUGCUUCGAGUAGGGAGUGUAUGCUCCUGUUUUUUAAACCAUUAACCUUAAUUCAAUACUAAACUAGAAAUCUUUAAUGAAAGUACAACUUUCAGCAGUGGAUGUCUAGGCUCGCACAUCGAUGAAGAACGCUGCGAACUGCGAUACGUAAUGCGAAUUGCACGAACUAGUGAGUCAUCGAAAUUUUGAACGCAUAUUGCACUUCCGGGUAUUCCUGGGAGUAUGCUUGUAUCAGUGUCUGUAUACUUUCUCACUCUUUUUGGUUUGUCUUGUACGGACUGGAGAGAUGUGGAUGGUGAAAGUCUGUGAGUGUGUUGUUUUCGGACGGCGCACGAUAGUCUUUUGAAAUAUACAAACAAUGAAUAUAUACUCGCUAUGUGUUCUUGUGCUUAAAAUGCGGUAAUAGACUUUUCGUUUAUGAUGCUAUUAAGUGCUGGAGCAUGAGUGUAUGAGUCAUGUGUUCUAAUGGGAAAUUGGAGCGACUACUUGUAGUUGCUACUCUUUUUUAUUAGACCUGAUAUCAAGCAAGAUUACCCGCUGAAUUUAAGCAUAUCAAUAAGCGGAGGA
Molecule: ribosomal RNA, 684 nt
Filed under: Haliphthoros milfordensis
Lineage: Eukaryota; Oomycota; Peronosporomycetes; Pythiales; Haliphthoraceae
Description: eukaryotic LSU rRNA
Rfam family: 5.8S ribosomal RNA (bases 204-357)
Source: RNAcentral